AACGAACGCUGGCGGCAUGCCUAACACAUGCAAGUCGAACGAGACCUUCGGGUCUAGUGGCGCACGGGUGCGUAACGCGUGGGAAUCUGCCCUUGGGUUCGGAAUAACAGUUAGAAAUGACUGCUAAUACCGGAUAAUGUCUUCGGACCAAAGAUUAUCGCCCAGGGAUGAGCCCGCGUAGGAUUAGCUAGUUGGUGAGGUAAAGGCUCACCAAGGCGACGAUCCUUAGCUGGUCUGAGAGGAUGAUCAGCCACACUGGGACUGAGACACGGCCCA
Molecule: ribosomal RNA, 276 nt
Filed under: uncultured bacterium
Lineage: Bacteria
Description: partial 16S ribosomal RNA
Rfam family: Bacterial small subunit ribosomal RNA
Source: RNAcentral